Molecule: ribosomal RNA, 253 nt
Filed under: uncultured bacterium
Lineage: Bacteria
Description: partial 16S ribosomal RNA
Rfam family: Bacterial small subunit ribosomal RNA
Source: RNAcentral
UACGAAGGGGGCUAGCGUUGUUCGGAAUUACUGGGCGUAAAGCGCACGCAGGCGGCUUGAUAAGUCGGGGGUGAAAUCCCGGGGCUCAACCUCGGAAUUGCCUUCGAUACUGUUAGUCUUGAGUCCGGGAGAGGUGAGUGGAAUUCCUAGUGUAGAGGUGAAAUUCGUAGAUAUUAGGAAGAACACCAGUGGCGAAGGCGGCUCCCUGGCCCGGUACUGACGCUCAUGUGCGAAAGCGUGGGGAGCAAACCGG